Molecule: transfer RNA, 63 nt
Filed under: Palaestes nicaraguae
Lineage: Eukaryota; Metazoa; Arthropoda; Insecta; Coleoptera; Cucujidae
Description: tRNA-His
Source: RNAcentral
AUUUAAGUAGUUUAAUAAAAAUAUUAAUUUGUGGAGUUAAAGAUGUAAUUUAUACCUUAAAUU